GGCAGGGGUAGCUCAGUGGUUAAGAUGUUGAACUACCGAUCAGAAGGUUGUGAGUUCAGAUCCCGGCUCUGCCA
Molecule: non-coding RNA, 74 nt
Organism: Pangasianodon gigas (Mekong giant catfish)
Lineage: Eukaryota; Metazoa; Chordata; Actinopteri; Siluriformes; Pangasiidae
Source: the annotation of a GenBank genome assembly